Molecule: small nuclear RNA, 106 nt
Organism: Jaculus jaculus (lesser Egyptian jerboa)
Lineage: Eukaryota; Metazoa; Chordata; Mammalia; Rodentia; Dipodidae
Source: RefSeq, a predicted model, not a curated record
GUGCUCGCUUUGGCAGCGCAUAUACUGAAAUUGCAAUGAAACAGACAAGAUGAGCAUGGCCCCUGAACAAGUGAAUUGAGCCUGAAAAAAAAAAAUAAAUGUCAGU